This 445-nucleotide ribosomal RNA is filed under the name Escherichia coli. Its description in RNAcentral is "partial 23S ribosomal RNA". It matches the Rfam family "Bacterial large subunit ribosomal RNA", at positions 1273 to 1720 of the family's 2925-position model. Lineage: Bacteria; Pseudomonadati; Pseudomonadota; Gammaproteobacteria; Enterobacterales; Enterobacteriaceae. The record is from RNAcentral.
CUGGAGGUAUCAGAAGUGCGAAUGCUGACAUAAGUAACGAUAAAGCGGGUGAAAAGCCCGCUCGCCGGAAGACCAAGGGUUCCUGUCCAACGUUAAUCGGGGCAGGGUGAGUCGACCCCUAAGGCGAGGCCGAAAGGCGUAGUCGAUGGGAAACAGGUUAAUAUUCCUGUACUUGGUGUUACUGCGAAGGGGGGACGGAGAAGGCUAUGUUGGCCGGGCGACGGUUGUCCCGGUUUAAGCGUGUAGGCUGGUUUUCCAGGCAAAUCCGGAAAAUCAAGGCUGAGGCGUGAUGACGAGGCACUACGGUGCUGAAGCAACAAAUGCCCUGCUUCCAGGAAAAGCCUCUAAGCAUCAGGUAACAUCAAAUCGUACCCCAAACCGACACAGGUGGUCAGGUAGAGAAUACCAAGGCGCUUGAGAGAACUCGGGUGAAGGAACUAGGCAA